UCCCUGGUGGCUCAGAUGGUAAAGCCUCUGCCUGCAGUGCAGGAGACCGGGGUUCAAUCCCUGGGUUGGGAA
Bos taurus (domestic cattle) is the source of this 72-nucleotide non-coding RNA. Lineage: Eukaryota; Metazoa; Chordata; Mammalia; Artiodactyla; Bovidae. The record is from Rfam.